UUUAUUUUUGUGAAAUAUAUAUUUUGUGUUCCAAUACUUUAUUAUUAGUCAAUUUUUUAAUUAAUAUUCUAAAAAAACAUAACUAUAAUGUUUUCUCUUAUGCUAUGAGAUCUACGCGCUAGCCAAGAUCUCAUAGCAUAAUAUAUUUCGUAAUUAAAAAUUUUAAUAUGUGUGAGACUAUGAGUGGAUUUUGUCAACCUAUCAACAAUUACCCAAAUAGCAUCAUGAUUGGUUCAGGUUUUAGGUAAAUCUACUAUGAAAUUCAUGGUAAUGUGUUCCAUUUUCAUUCUGGGAUCUCUAAUGGUUGCAACAACAUAUCAGGUCGGUGUUUUGCUUUUACUUUCUAAUAAAUCAAAUAUUUACUUACCCACUCAGCCAUCUCACUCUUCCUAUUAGGUCACCAAUAGUUUCUUUUACAAUCUUGGUAAAUCUUGGUACUUCCUGAGUGUAUAGAGUAUCUCGAUUCAUGAGCUUCACUCAAAGCAUCGUGUUUAAGUUCUAUCACAUUAGGAAUCCAAAUCCUAUUGAUAAAUUUCCCAAUUCCUUUCUCACCUUUUACACUAAAGUACUAAUGGCCUGUUACUUCAGAUCGUCUCCUUUCAAUCAUUAAUUCUUGACUCUUUUUGAUUCUUUCUAGUAAUCCUAGUCGCAUUAACAUUUCAUAAAUCCUUCCCUCCUUUUGGUCGGAAUCCUUAAUCUCCAAUCCUACCUUUUCCACUUCCUUAAUAAAUUCUUUUGGUAAAAACAUUACCUUGACUCUUUCUUUCCUACCUAAUGCAUCAGCAACGAAGUUCACUUUUCCUUUUCAGGGUGAUAAUUAAUUGUAUAAUCAUAGUCAUUUAUAAAUUCUAACCAUCUCCUUCUUUCUGAAUAAGCAAGUAUUUUAAACUCUUAUAAUCUGUGAAUAUCUCAUAUUUCUCACCAUAUAAGUAAUGUCACCAAAUCUUUAAGGCAAAUACUAUAGUAGCUAAUUCUAGGUCAUGGGUAGGGUACCUUA
Molecule: long non-coding RNA, 997 nt
Filed under: Daucus carota (carrot)
Lineage: Eukaryota; Viridiplantae; Streptophyta; Magnoliopsida; Apiales; Apiaceae
Description: long non-coding RNA (DCAR_LNC005496)
Source: RNAcentral